UACGGAGGGUGCAAGCGUUAAUCGGAAUUACUGGGCGUAAAGCGCGCGUAGGCGGUUUGUUAAGUCAGAUGUGAAAUCCCCGGGCUCAACCUGGGAAUGGCAUUUGAGACUGGCAGGCUAGAGUAUGGUAGAGGUGAGUGGAAUUUCAGGUGUAGCGGUGAAAUGCGUAGAUAUCUGAAGGAACAUCAGUGGCGAAGGCGACUCACUGGGCCAUUACUGACGCUGAGGUGCGAAAGCGUGGGUAGCAAACAGG
This 253-nucleotide unclassified non-coding RNA is filed under the name uncultured Gammaproteobacteria bacterium. RNAcentral's name for it is "contains 16S-23S intergenic spacer region". It matches the Rfam family "Bacterial small subunit ribosomal RNA", at positions 524 to 776 of the family's 1533-position model. Lineage: Bacteria; Pseudomonadati; Pseudomonadota; Gammaproteobacteria. The record is from RNAcentral.